AACAAGGUUUCCGUAGGUGAACCUGCGGAAGGAUCAUUAACCUUUUCAAAAUCAGGGUGCGGCGCGGCCCCCGAGGAGCGGAAACAAUCCUUGGGAGGUAUGCGGGGGCUUCGAGCCCCCCAUUUACGCACGCACGACUGCCAUCCUUACUUUACGAGCACCUUCUGUUCUCCCUCGGCGGGGCAACCUGCCGUUGGAACCGAAUAAACUCUUUUUGCAUCUAGCAUUACCUGUUCCGAAACAAACAAUCGUUACAACUUUCAACAAUGGAUCUCUUGGCUCUGGCAUCGAUGAAGAACGCAGCGAAAUGCGAUAAGUAGUGUGAAUUGCAGAAUUCAGUGAAUCAUCGAAUCUUUGAACGCACAUUGCGCCCCUCGGUAUUCCGUGGGGCAUGCCUGUUCGAGCGUCAUCUACACCCUCAAGCUCUGCUUGGUGUUGGGCGUCUGUCCCGCCUCCGCGCGUGGACUCGCCCCAAAUUCAUUGGCAGCGGUCCUUGCCUCCUCUCGCGCAGCACAUUGCGCUUCUCGAGGGGCUACGGCUCGCGUCCAACAAGCACAUUUACCCGUCUUUGACCUCGGAUCAGGUAGGGAUACCCGCUGAACUUAAGCAUAUC
RNAcentral lists this unclassified non-coding RNA (613 nucleotides) under Pseudopithomyces chartarum. Its description in RNAcentral is "sequence contains ITS1, 5.8S rRNA gene, ITS2". The stretch from base 256 to 409 matches the Rfam family "5.8S ribosomal RNA". Lineage: Eukaryota; Fungi; Ascomycota; Dothideomycetes; Pleosporales; Didymosphaeriaceae. The record is from RNAcentral.